RNAcentral lists this ribosomal RNA (303 nucleotides) under uncultured bacterium. RNAcentral describes it as "partial 16S ribosomal RNA". It matches the Rfam family "Bacterial small subunit ribosomal RNA", at positions 507 to 808 of the family's 1533-position model. The record is from RNAcentral.
AGCAGUCGCCGCGGGAAUACAGAGGGUGCAAGCGUUAAUCGGAUUUACUGGGCGUAAAGCGUGCGUAGGUGGCUGUUUAAGUCGGAUGUGAAAGCCCUGGGCUUAACCUGGGAACUGCAUUCGAUACUGGAUAGCUAGAGAUCGGUAGAGGGCAGCGGAAUUCCGGGUGUAGCGGUGAAAUGCGUAGAUAUCCGGAGGAACACCGAUGGCGAAGGCAACUGCCUGGGCCUGAUCUGACACUGAGGCACGAAAGCGUGGGUAGCAAACAGGAUUAGAUACCCGCGUAGUCCUGUCUCUUAUACG